This 253-nucleotide ribosomal RNA is filed under the name uncultured bacterium. RNAcentral describes it as "partial 16S ribosomal RNA". It matches the Rfam family "Bacterial small subunit ribosomal RNA", at positions 524 to 776 of the family's 1533-position model. The record is from RNAcentral.
UACGUAGGUGGCAAGCGUUGUCCGGAUUUAUUGGGCGUAAAGCGCGCGCAGGCGGUCCUUUAAGUCUGAUGUGAAAUCUUGCGGCUCAACCGCAAGCGGUCAUUGGAAACUGGGGGACCUGAGUACAGAAGAGGAAAGUGGAAUUCCACGUGUAGCGGUGAAAUGCGUAGAGAUGUGGAGGAACACCAGUGGCGAAGGCGACUUUCUGGUCUGUAACUGACGCUGAGGCGCGAAAGCGUGGGGAGCAAACAGG